Molecule: ribosomal RNA, 829 nt
Filed under: uncultured Flavobacteriaceae bacterium
Lineage: Bacteria; Pseudomonadati; Bacteroidota; Flavobacteriia; Flavobacteriales; Flavobacteriaceae
Description: bacterial SSU rRNA
Rfam family: Bacterial small subunit ribosomal RNA
Source: RNAcentral
GGCCUAAUACAUGCAAGUCGAGGGGUAACAGGAAGUGCUUGCACUUCGCUGACGACCGGCGCACGGGUGAGUAUCGCGUAUACAAUCUGCCUCAUACUAGGGAAUAGCCCGAAGAAAUUUGGAUUAAUGCCCCAUAGUAUCUUUUUAAGGCAUCUUAUUAAGAUUAAAGGUUACGGUAUGAGAUGAGUAUGCGUUCUAUUAGCUAGUAGGUGUGGUAACGGCACACCUAGGCUACGAUAGAUAGGGGCCCUGAGAGGGGGAUCCCCCACACUGGUACUGAGACACGGACCAGACUCCUACGGGAGGCAGCAGUAAGGAAUAUUGGACAAUGGGCGAAAGCCUGAUCCAGCCAUGCCGCGUGCAGGAUGACUGCCCUAUGGGUUGUAAACUGCUUUUAUAUAGGAAGAAAAAUUUUCUCGUGAGAAAACUUGACGGUACUAUAAGAAUAAGGAUCGGCUAACUCCGUGCCAGCAGCCGCGGUAAUACGGAGGAUCCAAGCGUUAUCCGGAAUCAUUGGGUUUAAAGGGUCCGUAGGUGGACAAAUAAGUCAGAGGUGAAAUCCUGCAGCUCAACUGUAGAACUGCCUUUGAUACUGUUUGUCUUGAGUUAUUAUGAAGUGGUUAGAAUGUGUAGUGUAGCGGUGAAAUGCAUAGAUAUUACACAGAAUACCGAUUGCGAAGGCAGAUCACUAAUAAUUAACUGACACUGAGGGACGAAAGCGUGGGUAGCGAACAGGAUUAGAUACCCUGGUAGUCCACGCCGUAAACGAUGGUCACUAGCUGUUUGGACUUCGGUCUGAGUGGCUAAGCGAAAGUGAUAAGUGACCCAC